AUAAACUUGUUUUUUUGUUUGUUUGUUGUUUGCAGAAUUUAUUAAUCUGUUAAUUUUAUAAAAAUUCUAUUACUUAUGUUUAUGCAUUAUACAUUAAUGUUUAUUUAUACAUCUUGAAAUGUUGCAAAUGUAUUAGAAUAUGUAGAAAUAACAUGAACUUAGAUUAAUAAAUUCUGUAAAAGUAUUGUUCAUGGUUAGUUGGUGACAUCUAAAGCACUAAUUAACAUUAACAAACUGAAUUUUACUGUAAAGUGUUACCUAUUGUUUAAUCGUUUCUUUUUUUUUAAAUUAGUUUUUCAAAGAAGACACUGGUGCCUAUGAAAGAAGCCACAAGUACAACAGGUGACAGAAACCCUUUUACAAAGCACUUUUCCCGUUUUCCCAGAGAGUUUUGUUGCCAGUCCUAUUAACCGAAUACAAUGCCCUGAACCUGAACACCUGCAAAAAUUAUGUUUUAUUUGCUGAAUCAGUUUCAGCUCCCGUUGUUUUGCUGACUUUACAAAAGAUACAUAUAUUUACAUAAGUUGUGUCACAGAUUUGCUUUCAGCUCUCCAGAAAUGAUUUACCAAAAUGUUCUUCUCACAUGGCAGUGAAGGUACAACAGGACACUGGUCCUGUUUGGCAGCAUGUGUACAGUGUUUUUCACUCCGACUCUUCUAGUUUGUCUCAUAGGGCAGAAGGUGGACGGUGCACUCGAUAGCUUUUGGUCAUCACGUGCUCCCCCCUCCUUACUGAAAAAAUGUCUGCGCCUGAUAUGGGUUAUUGUACGGUACAAUUCUCUGAAAUACUUCAAGAGAAGGUCCUGAGAUAGUGUUUUUUUUUCCUGAAAGAGGCUUUAGCUCUUCUCAGACUGUAUUUGUCAUGCUUUUUAUGAUCUUGUUUUGGG
Long non-coding RNA from Cyprinus carpio carpio, 886 nucleotides. The record is from Ensembl. Lineage: Eukaryota; Metazoa; Chordata; Actinopteri; Cypriniformes; Cyprinidae.